Molecule: transfer RNA, 69 nt
Filed under: Rhynchocypris oxycephala (Chinese minnow)
Lineage: Eukaryota; Metazoa; Chordata; Actinopteri; Cypriniformes; Leuciscidae
Also listed under: 1 other name
Description: Phoxinus oxycephalus (Chinese minnow) tRNA-Ala
Rfam family: tRNA
About the family: Transfer RNA (tRNA) molecules are approximately 80 nucleotides in length. Their secondary structure includes four short double-helical elements and three loops (D, anti-codon, and T loops).
Source: RNAcentral
AAGGCCUUAGUUUAACAAAAACAUUUGAUUUGCAAUUAGAUAAUGCAAGAUAGAGUCUUGUAGGUCUUA